AUGGCCUGGUCACAUUUAUGUGAGCAUGUGAUCCUUGGUCCAUUGCAAGGCAACCUGGUGCAUGUAGCUCCCGCUUGCGCAGGAUCCGGGGAAGGGUCCGACCACUUUGGGUCUAUAUGGUGGUGGUGGUGGUGGUGGUCUGAGGCUGAACUACUACUCCGAGAGCUGCCUGAGGGCAGAGGAGAUCAUCAAGGAGCAGGUGAGGUGAAGAGCAUGUGCGAGGAGCACGGCAACACGGCCGUGUCGUGGCUCGGGGACCUCUUCCACGAUUGCACCGUCAAGUCCUGCUACUCAGAAGGACGACGCCAGGGGCCUCGCCUCCGAGCAGUCCUCCCCAAGGAGCUUCGGCAUGCACAACUUCAAGUACAUUGA
This 372-nucleotide ribosomal RNA is filed under the name Triticum aestivum (bread wheat). RNAcentral's name for it is "partial small subunit ribosomal RNA". Lineage: Eukaryota; Viridiplantae; Streptophyta; Magnoliopsida; Poales; Poaceae. The record is from RNAcentral.